RNAcentral lists this transfer RNA (77 nucleotides) under Acidobacteriota bacterium. RNAcentral describes it as "Acidobacteria bacterium (activated sludge metagenome) tRNA-Arg". It matches the Rfam family "tRNA". Rfam says of the family: Transfer RNA (tRNA) molecules are approximately 80 nucleotides in length. Their secondary structure includes four short double-helical elements and three loops (D, anti-codon, and T loops). The record is from RNAcentral. Lineage: Bacteria; Pseudomonadati; Acidobacteriota. RNAcentral also lists the same sequence under 2 other names.
GCUCCCGUAGCUCAGCUGGAUAGAGCGACGGCCUUCUAAGCCGUAGGUCGCAGGUUCGAGCCCUGCCGGGGGUACCA